UUCUGAAACUCGUUGACGUUGCACAUGAGCACAUG
This 35-nucleotide small RNA is filed under the name Propionibacterium ruminifibrarum. RNAcentral describes it as "Propionibacterium sp. JV5 CRISPR_Spacer". Lineage: Bacteria; Bacillati; Actinomycetota; Actinomycetes; Propionibacteriales; Propionibacteriaceae. The record is from RNAcentral.